GAAAUGCGAUAAGUAGUGUGAAUUGCAGAAUUCAGUGAAUCAUCGAAUCUUUGAACGCACAUUGCGCCCCUUGGUAUUCCAUGGGGCAUGCCUGUUCGAGCGUCAUUUGUACCCCCAAGCUUUGCUUGGUGUUGGGCGUCUUGUCUCUUCCGUUCGUGAUUAGACUCGCCUUAAAGUAAUUGGCAGCCAGUGUUUUUGGUAGUAAGCGCAGCACAAUUUGCGUCUUGGUCCCUAAGCAGUGGCAUCCACAAAGCCUCUUUCUCACUUUUGACCUCGGAUCAGGUAGGGAUACCCGCUGAACUUAAGC
RNAcentral lists this unclassified non-coding RNA (307 nucleotides) under plant metagenome. RNAcentral's name for it is "partial contains 5.8S ribosomal RNA, internal transcribed spacer 2, and large subunit ribosomal RNA". The stretch from base 1 to 105 matches the Rfam family "5.8S ribosomal RNA", at positions 50 to 154 of the family's 154-position model. The record is from RNAcentral.